This 1394-nucleotide ribosomal RNA is filed under the name Faucicola osloensis. RNAcentral's name for it is "Moraxella osloensis partial 16S ribosomal RNA". It matches the Rfam family "Bacterial small subunit ribosomal RNA". The record is from RNAcentral. Lineage: Bacteria; Pseudomonadati; Pseudomonadota; Gammaproteobacteria; Moraxellales; Moraxellaceae.
AUUAUCAAGCUGACUGGAUGUGAAUAGCGGUGGACGGGUGAGAAUCAUGGACGAUUCUGCCAUGUCAGGGGGAACAGCUCUUCGUAUCUCGAAAUAUUUCCGCGUAAUAUCUACUGGUGCAUGGAGGAGAAGGGGGUAGCCAGCUGUUACUCUUACUACAGCAUAAUUAGUUUGUGGAGUUUGGGCCCACAAAGGUGACUAUCUGUAACUCCUAUUCGCGGAUGAGCAUUAACACCGCACCUGAUGCCCUGUCCGGAUUCCGACGGAAGGCGGAUGAUGGAAAAGGGGAACAAUGGGGCCAACCCCAAUCCGGCCAUACCGGGUGAGUGAAGAACUGCUUUUCGUUGUAAGGCACCCUAAUCUGGCACGAGAGCCUUGAGGGUAAUACCCAUUAGGUUAUAAAGUACCUCGAGAAUAGGCAUCGGCUAAAUGGUUGUGACCUACCGCGGUAAUGCAGAGGGAGAGAGUGUUAACCUUAAUAACAAGGCCUAAGGCGAAUGUAAGUAGCUCAUUCAGUCACAUGUGAAGGCCCCAGGCUUAAGCUGGCAACUGUAUCUGGUUGAGGAGGUGACAGAAUAAGUCCGAGGGAAUUCGAAUUCAAGUUCCUGCUGUAAAUUGCGAAGAAAUUUGGACGAGAAGGCAUACCGAAGGCCGAUUCCUCGGCCAAAUUGGACACUUAGUUCCCAAACCCUGAGUGGCAAGCACCAUUAGAUACCUAGUUAUUCCGCCAGCUAACGGUUAUGGAGGAGCCGUUGGCGUCCUGGACGCCUUGUCGGCGCCGACGACAAGAUAAUUAAACCGCCUGGGGCGUCCGGCAGAAAGUAUGAAACUUAAAAGAAAUGCCAGGGGCAGGCCUCAGCUUGGCAGCAUUUGGUUUAAAUCUAAGCUAGCUUAACGAGCUAACCUAGUAUUGGUAUAGAAUUACUCCUACAGCGGUACAGGUGAGCCUUCGUCAACGCGUUUACAGGUCCAGCAUGGCUUUCGUAGGCUCGUGACCGGAUUUUGUGGUUCAAACACCGAUACUAGGUCAACCCCUUCCAUUAGUUGCCAACGCCAGAAGCUUGGCACCUUAAACAUACGGACACUGUCAAACUUGGAGAAGGCGGGUAACACGUCGAAUCUUAAUGGUCCUGACAACUAGGGCCACAUAGAUGGAUCACUGGUAAAUACGUAAGGUUGCCCAACAGCGUUGUGAUUCUAAACUUAAACAGCUGAACGGUAACCCGAUUCCAAACCGGUACUGGGCUAACUCUAGUGCGAAACUCCAUAAAUCGCAAAUCUGAAAGCUCGGGUCAAUUCGAUCCAAGGGCCUAUACCCAACGCCCGCCAUACCUUAGGAGUCUUUUCGACCAGAAAUUAGGAUCCCAAGGAUAGAGGGCGCUUCCAAGGAGUUC